This 272-nucleotide ribosomal RNA is filed under the name uncultured prokaryote. RNAcentral's name for it is "partial 16S ribosomal RNA". It matches the Rfam family "Bacterial small subunit ribosomal RNA", at positions 524 to 796 of the family's 1533-position model. The record is from RNAcentral.
UACGUAGGACCCGAGCGUUGUCCGGAAUUACUGGGUAUAAAGGGUGCGCAGGCGGCCGUGUGCGUCAGAGGUGAAAUCUCCGGGCUUAACCCGGAGGGUGCCUUUGAUACGGCAUGGCUUGAGUCCGAGAGAGGGUGAUGGAAUUCCUGGUGUAGCAGUGAAAUGCGUAGAUAUCAGGAGGAACACCGGUGGCGAAGGCGGUCACCUGGCUCGGCACUGACGCUUAGGCACGAAAGCGUGGGGAUCAAACAGGAUUAGAAACCGUGUAGUCC